This 227-nucleotide long non-coding RNA is filed under the name Capsicum annuum. RNAcentral describes it as "long non-coding RNA (CANN_LNC004357)". The record is from RNAcentral. Lineage: Eukaryota; Viridiplantae; Streptophyta; Magnoliopsida; Solanales; Solanaceae.
AACUACAUGUGGAGAACAAGUUUUAAACAUAUUUCAACAUUUCUGCUGCUGAAUUUUUAAAAAUAAAGAUAAAAUAUUUAUUUUUAACCCACUUUUAAUCAUAAUAUUUUAAAUCUUAUUUUUAACCAUGAUAAACAACAGUGAUGAAGAUUAUGUGAAGAACAAAGAUCAUGCACGUGAAGAAGGUGGAUCAAAUUAUAUCAAGAAAAUCAAGCUAAAAAGGGGAG